This 84-nucleotide transfer RNA is filed under the name archaeon. RNAcentral's name for it is "tRNA-Ser". It matches the Rfam family "tRNA". From Rfam's summary of the family: Transfer RNA (tRNA) molecules are approximately 80 nucleotides in length. Their secondary structure includes four short double-helical elements and three loops (D, anti-codon, and T loops). RNAcentral also lists the same sequence under 3 other names. The record is from RNAcentral.
UGUCGGGGUAGCCAAGCCCGGUAUGGCGUCAGCCUGCUAAGCUGAUGGGUAAUCCUUCGUGGGUUCGAAUCCCACCCCCGACGU